Long non-coding RNA from Maniola jurtina (meadow brown), 140 nucleotides. RefSeq lists it as uncharacterized. The record is from RefSeq and is a predicted model, not a curated record. NCBI's taxonomy places the organism in Eukaryota, Metazoa, Arthropoda, Insecta, Lepidoptera, Nymphalidae. The transcript has 3 exons.
ACGCCCCGCAUACCUGCACAGUCCCCGCACUAACCCGGUGCGGGCGAGCGCGGGUGAUGUGCGGGUGUGCGGGACAUCCCCUCGCCUCAUGCCCCGAUUGCAAUCUCAACCUGUCACGGACUAUACGUACUUACUAUCAA